UACGGGGGGAGCAAACGUUGUUCGGAAUCACUGGGCGUAAAGAGCGUGUAGGCGGCCAAACAGGUCCGUUGUGAAAACUGGAGGCUCAACUUCCAGACGUCGACGGAAACCGUGUGGCUAGAGUCCGGAAGAGGAGAGUGGAAUUCCUGGUGUAGCGGUGAAAUGCGCAGAUAUCAGGAAGAACACCCGUGGCGAAGGCGGCUCUCUGGGACGGUACUGACGCUGAGACGCGAAAGCGUGGGGAGCGAACAGG
Molecule: ribosomal RNA, 253 nt
Filed under: uncultured bacterium
Lineage: Bacteria
Description: partial 16S ribosomal RNA
Rfam family: Bacterial small subunit ribosomal RNA
Source: RNAcentral